AUGAUGUGAGCGGGAAGUGCUUGCACUAAACAAUCUUUUCAUAACUUAGUGGCGGACGGGUGAGUAAUCCGUGGGUAACCUGCCCUGUACUGGGGGACAACAGUUGGAAACGACUGCUAAUACCGCAUAAGCGCACGGGAUCGCAUGAUCCAGUGUGAAAAACUCCGGUGGUACAGGAUGGACCCGCGUCUGAUUAGCUGGUUGGUGAGGUAACGGCCCACCAAGGCAACGAUCAGUAGCCGGCCUGAGAGGGUGAACGGCCACAUUGGGACUGAGACACGGCCCAAACUCCUACGGGAGGCAGCAGUGGGGAAUAUUGCACAAUGGGGGAAACCCUGAUGCAGCGACGCCGCGUGAGUGAAGAAGUAUUUCGGUAUGUAAAGCUCUAUCAGCAGGGAAGAAAAUGACGGUACCUGACUAAGAAGCCCCGGCUAACUACGUGCCAGCAGCCGCGGUAAUACGUAGGGGGCAAGCGUUAUCCGGAUUUACUGGGUGUAAAGGGAGCGUAGACGGCAUGGCAAGUCUGAAGUGAAAUGCGGGGGCUCAACCCCUGAACUGCUUUGGAAACUGUCAGGCUGGAGUGCAGGAGAGGUAAGUGGAAUUCCUAGUGUAGCGGUGAAAUGCGUAGAUAUUAGGAGGAACACCAGUGGCGAAGGCGGCUUACUGGACUGUAACUGACGUUGAGGCUCGAAAGCGUGGGGAGCAAACAGGAUUAGAUACCCUGGUAGUCCACGCCGUAAACGAUGAUUACUAGGUGUUGGGGAUUUAUAAAUCCCCGGUGCCGUCGCAAACGCAAUAAGUAAUCCACCUGGGGAGU
This 817-nucleotide ribosomal RNA is filed under the name uncultured bacterium. RNAcentral's name for it is "bacterial SSU rRNA". It matches the Rfam family "Bacterial small subunit ribosomal RNA", at positions 59 to 881 of the family's 1533-position model. The record is from RNAcentral.